RNAcentral lists this transfer RNA (79 nucleotides) under Paraglaciecola aquimarina. Its description in RNAcentral is "tRNA-Arg". It matches the Rfam family "tRNA". Rfam says of the family: Transfer RNA (tRNA) molecules are approximately 80 nucleotides in length. The record is from RNAcentral. Lineage: Bacteria; Pseudomonadati; Pseudomonadota; Gammaproteobacteria; Alteromonadales; Alteromonadaceae.
GCGCGUGUAGCUCAGCUGGAUAGAGUACUCAUGGCUACGAACCAGGUGGUCGGAGGUUCGAAUCCUUCCACGCGCACCA